Molecule: microRNA precursor, 168 nt
Filed under: Pelobates cultripes (western spadefoot toad)
Lineage: Eukaryota; Metazoa; Chordata; Amphibia; Anura; Pelobatidae
Source: RNAcentral
GCUGACACAUUCCAGCCAAUCAGCAGCAGACCCUCCCUCCCAGACCCUCCCACCUCCUGGACAGCAUCCAUUUUACAUUCAUUGUGAAGCUGCAUUCUUAGUGAGCUGUCCAGGAGAUGGGAGGGUCUGGGAGGGAGGGUCUGCUGCUGAUUGGCUGGAAUGUGUCUG